This 98-nucleotide transfer RNA is filed under the name candidate division KSB3 bacterium. RNAcentral describes it as "tRNA-Sec". It matches the Rfam family "Selenocysteine transfer RNA". The record is from RNAcentral.
GGGAGUGGAUAGCGGCCUGGUGGCGCUCCUGGACUUCAAAUCCAGUGUGGGGCAUUAAUCCUGUCCCGGGUGAGUUCGAUUCUCACACACUCCCGCCA